Molecule: ribosomal RNA, 429 nt
Filed under: Actinomycetes bacterium
Lineage: Bacteria; Bacillati; Actinomycetota; Actinomycetes
Description: Actinobacteria bacterium partial 16S ribosomal RNA
Rfam family: Bacterial small subunit ribosomal RNA
Source: RNAcentral
UAGGGAAUCUUCCGCAAUGGGCGAAAGCCUGACGGAGCAACGCCGCGUGAGUGAUGAAGGUCUUCGGAUCGUAAAACUCUGUUAUUAGGGAAGAACAAAUGUGUAAGUAACUAUGCACGUCUUGACGGUACCUAAUCAGAAAGCCACGGCUAACUACGUGCCAGCAGCCGCGGUAAUACGUAGGUGGCAAGCGUUAUCCGGAAUUAUUGGGCGUAAAGCGCGCGUAGGCGGUUUUUUAAGUCUGAUGUGAAAGCCCACGGCUCAACCGUGGAGGGUCAUUGGAAACUGGAAAACUUGAGUGCAGAAGAGGAAAGUGGAAUUCCAGGGGGAGCGGUGAAAUGCGCAGAGAUAUGGAGGAACACCAGGGGCGAAGGCGACUUUCUGGUCUGUAACUGACGCUGAUGUGCGAAGGCGUGGGGAUCAAACAGG